GAUGAACGCUGGCGGCGUGCUUAACACAUGCAAGUCGAACGGAAAGGCCCAAGCUUGCUUGGGUACUCGAGUGGCGAACGGGUGAGUAACACGUGGGUGAUCUGCCCUGCACUUCGGGAUAAGCCUGGGAAACUGGGUCUAAUACCGGAUAGGACGAUGGUUUGGAUGCCAUUGUGGAAAGUUUUUUCGGUGUGGGAUGAGCUCGCGGCCUAUCAGCUUGUUGGUGGGGUAGUGGCCUACCAAGGCGUCGCCGGGUAGCCGGCCUGAGAGGGUGUACGGCCACGUUGGGAAGGAGAGAACGGCCGGACUCCUACGGGAGGCAGGAGUGGGGAAUGUGGCGAAAGGGGCGAAGGCCGGAAGCAGCGAGGCCGCGGGGGGGAUGACGGCCUUCGGGUUGUAAGCCUCUUUCAGAAGGGACGAAGAGAAAGUGGCGGUACCUGCAGAAGAAGAACGGGCCAACUACGGG
RNAcentral lists this ribosomal RNA (466 nucleotides) under uncultured bacterium. Its description in RNAcentral is "partial 16S ribosomal RNA". It matches the Rfam family "Bacterial small subunit ribosomal RNA", at positions 28 to 507 of the family's 1533-position model. The record is from RNAcentral.